This 98-nucleotide ribosomal RNA is filed under the name Streptococcus suis. RNAcentral's name for it is "partial 23S ribosomal RNA". It matches the Rfam family "Bacterial large subunit ribosomal RNA", at positions 1 to 93 of the family's 2925-position model. Lineage: Bacteria; Bacillati; Bacillota; Bacilli; Lactobacillales; Streptococcaceae. The record is from RNAcentral.
UAUAAGGUUAAGUUAAUAAGGGCGCACGGUGGAUGCCUUGGCACUAGAAGCCGAUGAAGGACGUGACUAACGACGAAAUGCCUUGGGGAGCUGUAAGU